AACGAACGCUGGCGGCAUGCCUAACACAUGCAAGUCGAACGAGACCUUCGGGUCUAGUGGCGCACGGGUGCGUAACGCGUGGGAACGUACCUUUUGGUUUCGGAACAACCCAGGGAAACUUAGGGCUAAUACCGGAUAAGCCCUUACGGGGAAAGGAUUUAUCGCCGAAGAUCGGCCCGCGUCUGAUUAGCUAGUUGGUGUGGUAACGGCGCACCAAGGCGACGAUCAGUAGCUGGUCUGAGAGGAUGAUCAGCCACAUUGGGACUGAGACACGGCCCAAACUCCUACGGGAGGCAGCAGUGGGGAAUAUUGGACAAUGGGCGCAAGCCUGAUCCAGCCAUGCCG
Molecule: ribosomal RNA, 345 nt
Filed under: uncultured bacterium
Lineage: Bacteria
Description: bacterial SSU rRNA
Rfam family: Bacterial small subunit ribosomal RNA
Source: RNAcentral